AAUAUACUCCCUCCGUCCAGAAAUACUUGUCUUAUAAAUGCAUAAAAUGGAUGUAUCUAUAGCUAAAAUAAGUCUAGAUACAUCCAUUUCUAGGACAACUAUUUCCAGACAGAGGGAGUAGAUU
Triticum aestivum (bread wheat) is the source of this 124-nucleotide non-coding RNA. The record is from Rfam. NCBI's taxonomy places the organism in Eukaryota, Viridiplantae, Streptophyta, Magnoliopsida, Poales, Poaceae.